Molecule: ribosomal RNA, 605 nt
Filed under: Parabacteroides distasonis
Lineage: Bacteria; Pseudomonadati; Bacteroidota; Bacteroidia; Bacteroidales; Tannerellaceae
Description: bacterial SSU rRNA
Rfam family: Bacterial small subunit ribosomal RNA
Source: RNAcentral
CAAUUUAAACAACGAAGAGUUUGAUCCUGGCUCAGGAUGAACGCUAGCGACAGGCUUAACACAUGCAAGUCGAGGGGCAGCACAGGUAGCAAUACCGGGUGGCGACCGGCGCACGGGUGAGUAACGCGUAUGCAACUUACCUAUCAGAGGGGGAUAACCCGGCGAAAGUCGGACUAAUACCGCAUGAAGCAGGGGCCCCGCAUGGGGAUAUUUGCUAAAGAUUCAUCGCUGAUAGAUAGGCAUGCGUUCCAUUAGGCAGUUGGCGGGGUAACGGCCCACCAAACCGACGAUGGAUAGGGGUUCUGAGAGGAAGGUCCCCCACAUUGGUACUGAGACACGGACCAAACUCCUACGGGAGGCAGCAGUGAGGAAUAUUGGUCAAUGGGCGUAAGCCUGAACCAGCCAAGUCGCGUGAGGGAUGAAGGUUCUAUGGAUCGUAAACCUCUUUUAUAAGGGAAUAAAGUGCGGGACGUGUCCCGUUUUGUAUGUACCUUAUGAAUAAGGAUCGGCUAACUCCGUGCCAGCAGCCGCGGUAAUACGGAGGAUCCGAGCGUUAUCCGGAUUUAUUGGGUUUAAAGGGUGCGUAGGCGGCCUUUUAAGUCAGC